This is an RNA transcript of Glycine soja, 1615 nucleotides long. It is a transcript of the gene named structural maintenance of chromosomes protein 6A-like, with no coding region annotated. The record is from RefSeq and is a predicted model, not a curated record. The transcript is spliced from 8 exons. Lineage: Eukaryota; Viridiplantae; Streptophyta; Magnoliopsida; Fabales; Fabaceae.
GAAAACUAACAGAGAAGAAAGAGAGAAAAAAGGGAAAAACAUCAAUGGCCAGAAAAUUCCAUGAAGCACCUAUUAUUUGUCUCUCUCCUUUAUUCUUGAUUUCCUAUGACUUGCUCGCAUCGCCAUUAGUGACUGCUGUGAGGAGAGGAUCUUCUGAUUCAAAAUUGGUGUCCUCCUCGUCUACCCUCACUCCAGAAACCAAAACUACCAUGGAAGACAAAGGCCGUGGUGCUGGUGAAAGUCGAGGUGGAGUGAAUCUGACAAAGAAGAGAGAAUUCACCAUAUUCGUAGACUAUAGAGAUAGAUAAACGUUCGCUAAACCCAAAGUAGAUAGUUGAGAUCCCAGCCCAACCCAAUAGCGCGAAAGCCCCAAACCUUCGCCUUUCUUUUUCCUUCCCGCCAUUCAUUCAGUCUUUUGCUUCCUUCCUUCCACACUGAUUGCCUCGUAAUUCGCGUCGUUUUCUUCUUCAUCACUCACUCCAUUCGUUACUUAUUUCAAUUCAAUUCUGAGUUCUAUCUAUGGUUUCCCACACUCUUCAUCAACCCACCGCAGGCAUCGUCAAGCAACUUCGACUCGAGAACUUCAUGUGCCAUUCCAAACACGAGACCGAGUUCGGAAACCACGUCAAUUUCAUCACCGGUCAAAACGGAAGUGGUAAGAGUACAAUCCUAGCUGCACUGUGUGUUGCAUUUGGCUGUCGAGCCAAAGAGACUCAAAGGACUUCCACUUUGAAGGAUUUCAUUAAAACUGGCGCCACUGAUGCUGUCAUCCAAGUUGAAAUUCAAAAUGAAGGGGAGGGUGCUUUUAAACCUGAAAUAUAUGGUCCUGUUAUCAUCGUAGAACGUAGGAUAUCUGAAUCAACAAGUUCUGCUACAUUAAAAGACCACCAAGGAAGGAAGGUUGUCAGUUGGAAAACAGAUCUUCUAGAAAUCGUUGAACAUUUUAAUAUUGAUGUGGAGAAUCCAUGUGUAAUUAUGAAUCAAGACAAAAGCAGAGAAUUUUUGCAUUCUGGGAAUAACAAAGAUAAAUUUAAGUUCUUUUACAAGGUCACGCUUCUUCAGCAAGUCAAUGAUCUUCUGGAAAGCAUUUCCCACAGAGGGGCAUUUUAUGGUAGCGGUUUUGGGUAAAAAUAGUGUUUCAGUUUGUAGAAAAUCCUUUCAAAGUUCACAACUAUCAGGCCUGACUUGUGACUACUGCCCGACCCCUGUGACCCUCUAGUGACUCUCAGGAUGCAGUAAGCCGAAAAAUCAGCUUGGACCCUCUAGUUGAUUUUGCUGAGGCACAUGGAUCACAGCGGAUAUUCAUCACUCCACAUGAUACUAGUUCGGUGAGGGCAGGGGACAGGAUAAAGAAGGUGCAAAUAGCCGCUCCACGUUCUUGAUUGUUUGUAAUUUGCUUUAUUUAUGGCUUCGGGAAACCCUAUGAAAAUGUAUUUUUCUGAUUCUGCGUUUAAUCAUGUCCAUUAUCUGAUAAUUAUUUGCUUCAAUUUUUUUUCAUUAUUGUGUCUGGGAGGGGCAUGUUUAAGGCAGAUUUAUACAUUUUAUGUAAUGUAAAUAGAUAAAAUUAUGUCUAAGUUAAUCCUUUAAAGUAUAUUCCAGGUAAGUGCUUCGCUUU